Molecule: ribosomal RNA, 467 nt
Filed under: uncultured Desulfobulbus sp.
Lineage: Bacteria; Pseudomonadati; Thermodesulfobacteriota; Desulfobulbia; Desulfobulbales; Desulfobulbaceae
Description: bacterial SSU rRNA
Rfam family: Bacterial small subunit ribosomal RNA
Source: RNAcentral
GCACAAGCGGUGGAGUAUGUGGUUUAAUUCGAUGCAACGCGAAGAACCUUACCUGGUCUUGACAUCCCGGAGACCCUUAGGAAACUAGGGGGUGCCUUUCCAUCUGGAAGAAUCUGGAGACAGGUGCUGCAUGGCUGUCGUCAGCUCGUGUCGUGAGAUGUUGGGUUAAGUCCCGCAACGAGCGCAACCCUUGCCUUUAGUUGCCAGCAGUUCGGCUGGGCACUCUAAAGGGACUGCCGGUGUUAAACCGGAGGAAGGUGGGGAUGACGUCAAGUCCUCAUGGCCUUUAUGACCAGGGCUACACACGUACUACAAUGGCCGAUACAAAGGGCAGCGACACUGCGAGGUGAAGCCAAUCCCGUAAAAUCGGUCUCAGUCCGGAUUGGAGUCUGCAACUCGACUCCAUGAAGUUGGAAUCGCUAGUAAUCGUGGAUCAGCAUGCCACGGUGAAUACGUUCCCGGGCCUU